This 301-nucleotide long non-coding RNA is filed under the name Prunus persica (peach). Its description in RNAcentral is "long non-coding RNA (PPER_LNC001368)". The record is from RNAcentral. Lineage: Eukaryota; Viridiplantae; Streptophyta; Magnoliopsida; Rosales; Rosaceae.
CCGUCCUCCCAAGCCCAAGGUCCCGCUCCCACCUGGAACCGUUGUCUCGCCUCCCAGGCCACGUGGCAGGCCCCCGAAGCCCAGAGACCCGUUCUCUCCGCAAGCGGAGCCCAAGAGCCCUUCUGGGACUGGAAGGCCACGUGGACGCCCUCCCAAGAAGGCCAAAACGGCAUCGGCUCCUCCUCAGGCUCCAGCUCCGGCUCCGGCUACUGGCGCGCCCAGAGGUAGAGGCAGGCCUCCUAAAGUGAAGCCCGCUGUGGCCCCGGUCGGCUGUUGAGUUUAGCUCAGCUCAGAUAGUGAG